CCCUCAGUGGUGCAAACAAGUUAUGCACUUGGCUGCUAACCAAAAGAUUGGUGGUUCAAGUCCACUCAGAGGCA
This 74-nucleotide transfer RNA is filed under the name Loxodonta africana (African savanna elephant). It matches the Rfam family "tRNA". From Rfam's summary of the family: Transfer RNA (tRNA) molecules are approximately 80 nucleotides in length. Their secondary structure includes four short double-helical elements and three loops (D, anti-codon, and T loops). Further hydrogen bonds mediate the characteristic L-shaped molecular structure. tRNAs have two regions of fundamental functional importance: the anti-codon, which is responsible for specific mRNA codon recognition, and the 3' end, to which the tRNAs corresponding amino acid is attached (by aminoacyl-tRNA synthetases). tRNAs cope with the degeneracy of the genetic code in two manners: having more than one tRNA (with a specific anti-codon) for a particular amino acid; and 'wobble' base-pairing, i.e. permitting non-standard base-pairing at the 3rd anti-codon position. Lineage: Eukaryota; Metazoa; Chordata; Mammalia; Proboscidea; Elephantidae. The record is from Rfam by way of RNAcentral.